Molecule: ribosomal RNA, 767 nt
Filed under: uncultured bacterium
Lineage: Bacteria
Description: bacterial SSU rRNA
Rfam family: Bacterial small subunit ribosomal RNA
Source: RNAcentral
AGAGUUUGAUCAUGGCUCAGGAUGAACGCUGGCGGUGUGCUUUAGGCAUGCAAGUCGAACGGUAACAGUGGAAGCUUGCUUCCAGCUGACGAGUGGCAGACGGGUGAGUAACGCGUAGGAAUCUGCCCUUUGGUGGGGAAUAGCUCAACGAAAGUUGAGGUAAUACCGCAUAACCCCAUUUAUGGGAAAAGGCCUUUUGGUCGCCGAAGGAGGAGCCUGCGUCCUAUCAGCUUGUUGGUAAGGUAAAGGCUUACCAAGGCAAUGACGGGUAGGGGGCGUGAGAGCGUGGCCCCCCACAAGGUUACUGAGACACGGAGCCUACACCUACGGGUGGCAGCAACCGGGAAUAUUGCGCAAUGGGCGAAAGCCUGACGCAGCGACACCGCGUGUGGGAUGAAGCAUUUCGGUGUGUAAACCACUGUGGCGAGGGAAGAAGAUCUGACGGUACCUCGCUAGAAAGCACCUGCUAACUACGUGCCAGAAGCCUCGGUAAUACGUAGGGUGCGAGCGUUAUCCGGAUUUACUGGGCGUAAAGGGUUUCGCAGGCGGAUUGUUAGGUCGUAUCUUAAAGACCAAGGCUCAACUUUGGGACUGGAUAUGAUACUGGCAGUCUAGAGGAUGUUAGGGGAGAUCGGAAUUCUCGGUGGAGGGGUGAAAUCCGUUGAUAUCGAGAGGAAUGCCAAUGGCGAAGGCAGAUCUCUGGAGCAUUCCUGACGCUCAUGUACGAAAGCUAGGGUAGCAAACGGGAUUAGAUACCCUGGUAGUCC